Molecule: long non-coding RNA, 6078 nt
Organism: Felis catus (domestic cat)
Lineage: Eukaryota; Metazoa; Chordata; Mammalia; Carnivora; Felidae
Exons: 3
Source: RefSeq, a predicted model, not a curated record
AGAAAAACUGAGGUGAAUGACCUCACUAUAAUCACAGCAGAGGGAAGGGUGGAUUUGCUUAGCUAAUUACACUACAACAAGUGAUCUGGUCUACAACCUCCUCUGUAAUAUUUAUUUUUAAUGAAAUAUACAAAAGUUUGCAAACAUCUUGUCUGCCUUAUAAGUAUUUCCCUCAGGACUAUUUAAAGAUCAAAAAGGAAAUUUCAAAUGUGCAAUCUGCUGAAAAAAAAAAGUAAGCAAGUAAACAGCAAAACAAGCUCCCUAUCUUCCAGUAGGCAACCCCCCAGCUAAUAUAUUCUGUUCCACAUCCUCCACCCACUCCUUCUUUCAUUAGUCCAGUUAUCCAAGGGAUAUCUUGAAAUUAUGGGCCUGGGAGAGCUCACCUGUCCCUUUCUUCUUUUGAUACUUUAUUUCCAGGCUCAUGAGCUCCCUCCCCUUAGCACAACCACUUAUAAAGUUUCCAAACUACCCCAUCUCUUUGCAUUCUGAUCUUCACCCCUGUUCCUCAGCUGUCCAGCACCAGGUGGACACACAAUCGAUACUGCUUAUCAAUGCUGAUGAUUCCUGGCUCUCUCAGUUUGUCCCUUUCUCUUGCUGGGAAUACCACUUCGGGAUACAGCUCAUCCAGGGGAAAUGUAUUCAGCCUCUCACCUUGCCCUAUUCUUAUUUAGGCCAGCUAAAAUCAAUUUAAGAUGAUGGUGAGUUUGCCAAGAAUCCCAAGACAGCAGCACCCUGAAAGCCGACCUGUUGAAAAAUCUUUGAUCGUGAAAUACAGCCAAUGCAAGUCUUGUCAUGUCACUGUUUAUCCCCAUGCUCCCAUCCCUGUCUUUAAGGAUGAAUCCAAUGGCGACAAGAAAGUUUUGUGAGAAAAAAAAAAAAAAGCUCAUGUGGGCCUUUUCAAAGCACAAGUCUGGUGAUUCUUUCUGGUACACAUUUUUUUCCGAGAUUUCAGUUCAUAAGGACAACAUCAACAACAACAGAACAAAAGGAGAAUGGAAUAAACUGACCAAACCCACCGCCACAAAAAAAACCAGGCUCACAGAGGCAUCACCUGACCUUGCGUGUGUGGGAGAGAGUGUCUCCCAGACAUGAGUAGAAAUCCCAACCACCAGUGCAGCCUCAUCUAGCACCAGGUGUUUGUAACUGGUUGAAGAGGGCUGGGUCUGAUCAGCUGCCCCAGCUGUGGUUGGAAACUGGUCUUCCUCGAAUGUGCGGCCUUGGAAUACUUCCAGUAGAUACAGCCUUUCAGGCACUGUAACCUCAAACCUGAGCUGGGAAUGAGGUCAUGACAAAACUCAGCCUCAAGAUGCAGGAAAAUGAGUGAGGAUUAAGAACAGUUUCAGAUGAUGGUGAAGUCAAACUCCCGGCCAGAGAGAGUUAGGGUGGAGUCAGUUUAAAGACAACAUGGAGGCCCGGGAGUUUGCCCUGGCAGAGGGCUUGGGGCCGGUGUGGAUGGAGGAGCACUUCAUCACCCCCCUGGUGGAAUGUCGCAGGCCAUCCCAAGCCCCCUCGAUGGGGUUGAAACGGAAUGAGGAAGUAUCUGAAUGUGGAAUAGACUGGGGUAUGAGAAGAAUGCUGUGACAGGAGUGUCUAGGCCUCCAUCUGCUCACCUGAAUGGUGAGAACAAUACCCAAUUGCAAGAAAACACAACGAGCUGAAUUGUGUCACUCUGAAACAUCACCCAACAUACUGAGUGGAUACCAUACAUCAGGCACUGCACUAGGCAGGGUGGGGCAAGAGAAGAUGAAUGGGACCCUCCUCCUGCUCUCAAGACCUAUUAGGGAAGAUGCAAAAUGGAUUGACAUACUACAUGAGAAGCCACAGAAUUCUGAAGACUAGAGAUGAGAACCCCAAGGCACACAGGGAUGGCUUCCUCCUUGUCAUAGACAGAGCCUACACAUCCAGGUUGUGCUUUCCCCAGAGCCUCUCAUCCCAUAGGUGUGGUGAGACCGGAGUCUCCAGCCUCCCUGCCUGGACCACCACCUCCCAACGCUUCACACACUGAGGUCUCUAUCCCACAUGCCUCCAGACCUUCCCUGCAAGAAUCCAUGGAUGAGUCAGCCUUGGGGGCUGAGAAAGUCUUAUUUUUACAGGGGCCAUGAAAGGAGCUACUUGGGAGUUGGCCUUUCCCUCUCAGUUCAAAUUCAGGGUGUGUUCUCUUACAGAGGCAAUGUUUUUGAAGGAAUGGUUGUUGUUUAUUAAUAUGAGGAAUAUGUUCAGCUAUAUUAUGGUAUCUGUGAAAUGGUCUAGACAGUAAGCCAUUAGUGAGCUGAAAGCUAUCUAUAAUCCAGUUUUGCACAUGAGCCCAACAUUCCUACUGACUGAGCCAAACUUCUGCCUUCUACUUGACAUAAGCAAUGGCAGUACCAGGAUGUGGAGUCAGACACGCCCCUGGGACCCCUCCCUGCAGCAGAGGGGAUCCUGGAACUUGGUGCCAGAGAUAUGGGUUCAACUGCUAAUUGGUCCACCUUGGACACUGCUCUGGGAGUGUCCUCUGUGAGACUCUGUCUUUCCUCAAGGGUAUAAUGACAAUGGUUGUGAAGGUGGAGUGUAAUCACUGGGAAGAAGCUCGGAGACAAUUGUUGUUCAAGAACUGUUAGUUGAAUAUGAAUCCCAAACAGAAUAAUGAGUGAUACCAUGAACUGCCAAGGUUAUUAAUAGGUUGUGCAAGUCUAGAAUCACUCUUUCUGUUUCCAAAGACCAAUAUCCAUCCCCCACCCCCACCCCCCACCCUGCCGCCACUUCAGAAUCUCACUCUCUUACCUUUAAAUGUUGCCAGCUCCUCCUCACAUGAUCAGGGAAUGUUUCUGGUGCCUUAAGUCUUAUACCUUUUGCUUUGUGUCAGAGACCCUCAGAAUAGCCACCCCCCCCCCACACACACACCCACCCUUGACUUGGUAAGGAGGCAUGAGGAACAUUGCCAGAUUUAGCAAAUACAAAUAUAGGACAUGCAGUUAAAUCUGACUUCCAGUUGAACAACGACUAUUUGCACAGGACAUCCUUAUAAUUAGGAAAUGACUCAUUAUAUAUCUGAAGGUCAGAUUUAAACUGGAUACCAGGUAUUUUAUGUCAGCCCUAGGCAUAUAGUGUAUUCAUAUCAUGUAGGUGAUGGGUCAGAUUGUCCUAGGGACAGUGCCAUUGGAGCCACUGAAUGAUAGAACUCUCUUCAGUCCUGAGUAGUUUCAGGAUAUCUGGGGGGCCCACCCUUGUAUCUCCUCUAUUUUUCAUUCCCUGGUCAGGACAUGCUAGCAGCUGAAGGCUUCCUUUCAGCCCAACGCCCCCUGUCAAGCAGGAAAUUAGUUCCCCUUCCUCCAGGAACAGCCCUCAGCCAGUGUUGGGUGGAGGUUGGAGGAUCAAUAUCUCAGCCCUUUCGUCUCUGGGUGGUGGCAAUAAAUCAGAGGCGUGUGUUCUCUUCUACAACUGUCCCUAAGUUCUGCAGUGUUACUCCAAAUGCCCACGGGGUAACCACUAACAGUGCACCCUUUAUAGGCUUCUCUUCCCUUCUCUGUCUCACUUUCCGCCUCUUCUAAUAGCGCUACCUUGGCCACCUCCCAGAUAAACCCCCUGCACGUAGAUCCAUGGUUCUAGGUUGGCUUUUGAAGGCCUCCGCCUAGGACGAAGCUGAAUGUUCUUUCUCUAACUCCAGACUCUCCAGCCACCUCAGCCCUCAGGAAUCACCAAAGGUUAAAUUCAAAGGGUAUGUCUAGAAAAUACAGAGCCAGGAACCCAAGGAUGAUGUCAGGAGUCCUAACACACUGGUUGCUGAGAUUUGUGGACACCCUAGCAACCAAAGGAGACACUCAUGGGAGGAGGGCUCAGCCUUAUUGUCCUGUUACCAGCCUACCAAGCCAGGAGCCCUGGAGUGGAAGAGCCAUGUUCUGUGUUCAUGGACGAAGGAUGGUAUCCCACGUCCUAUCCCAUCCUUCCAGGAAGUUAACCCUGUAGUCCAUUCACAUAUCGAUAUGUCUCCAGAACCUGUCCUGUGAGUAGAUUCCAGAGUCUGUGGGGUCCUAGUUGGCCUAAGAUACUGGGAAGGGCAAGGGCUUUGAAACCAGAGCAAUCUGGGCUUAAAUCUUGGUCUGCUUCUACCGACCCGUGAUCCUGGAUAAAUGGCCUCUGUUUCUUCACCUAUAAAAUGAGAGUGAUCAUGAUUUUCUUGGGUGAAUUACAUGAAAUCAUGUACGUAAGGGCUGAACACUGGGUGGCAGUCAGUAAAGCACUCCACGAACGCUAUUUCUCUUCCCCGAUUGUAAUGUACCAGUAAACCAACCUGACAAGAACAUGUACCCUGGUAUAAUGCUGUCUGCGUACUAGCAGCUCCCACACCCCUGUCUCUCACUCUGACUGGAAGUCAGGCAGAGACCUUGUUAAUUGAUUCAGCAGCCUUGAUCUGCUAAGCUCUUCCUCCCACCUUGCCUUUCUCUUGGUUAUCAAGAAGGUUCUGCAAAGAUUGCCAUCAGCAAGGCCGUCCAGCCUUAUUCUAGAGUGGAUCACACCAGUAAUUUGCUGUGAUGGAUAGCGUGCCUCAAACAGCCUGUGUAAUUGUGGUGAGCAGGCAGAGCAGUGGAGCCACUGUGUUUAGGAAAUUCAGACUUGCAAGGAACACGGCGCUGCCUAAGCCACAGUCAUUCCAAAAUUAGACCUUUCCUCUACUCCAUCAUUACAUGGGUAAGCAGUCAGAGCACUUCCUGAAUACGAACCACAUAUCAGAAGUGAUUUAUGGAAACAUCCACAUGUGUGUGGAUGGGUGGCAGAGGGAGGGAGGGAGCCUCGGGGUUGGCCCCAGACCUCACUGCCACUCUGCACAUUUCUGCUCAGACCAGUCACUGGUAGUCUCAGCCAUAGCUCUAGCAAAAAUGGUGGCUGUCCCUCCACCGCAGGGACAGGGAAGGGCCACAGUCUACUGGGGAGAAGAAAUUUAAAGUUCUUUCAUUCAUAAACUUGCCAGACCAUAUGGCCCCUGGCCAUGCACAUUAAUAGUUCAGGUGCCCUGGAUCCUGCCCUAAAGGUACUGAUUCAAUGGAUCUAGCUUGGGGUCCGGGCAUCUGUGUUGAACAGGCUCCCUCAGUUAGAGGUUCUCAAACUGCGGCUGUGCAUUAGAGUCACUGGGGAACUUUCAACUAUCCUGAUGCCCAGGUUUCAUCCCAGACCAACAACAUCAGAGUCGCUGGCUGUGGGACCCAAGGAAGGGGCUCUUUAAAGAGCUCCAGGUAAUGCCCAAGUGUGUGAUCAAGUUUGAGACUCAAUGCCUGGAUAAUUUGUAAAUCAGACACGUUUGGGAAAUACAAGUUGAGGGACAAAGGCCUAACUAGGAGAGACUUAUUUAUUUGUCAUCAGCAAACUGCAAUUCAAAGCCCCUGAUGGCUUAGGCAUAUAAAAAUGUGUUGUGCAGGCCGAUUCCAAGCAGUUGUCCUGAAACCUGGGUGAUCAUUAGCAUCGCCAAGUUUAUGCACUUUUCUAAUACAGUUUCCCAGAUCUCAACUCAAAUUCAAUGAACCAUAGCUCUAUAUUUUUUAAAGCUCCCAUAGGUCAUUUGGAUGCUCCUCAGCUUCUUGGAACCAGUGACUUCAGAGAAUUUAUAAAAGGUUGAAUCUUUUGAUUUAUAAUUAUGUAGGAGGCAUAAGGGUUUGAGCCACAAGGAAAUUUAAUGGUGACUAAGCAUUUCUAGAGAUAUUUUUAUUUUUUAAAUUUUUGUUAAAAAAAAAAGAUGCUUGGUUGACAAGUGGAAAUUCUAAAAUAGAUGUCAUGUUCUAAAUUUCUAAUUUGGUGUUUCCUUAAUUAACUCCUCAGAUAGAAGCUGUGGUGAGGUAACUCCACCGUUCAAGUUGAUUUCCCCUUCUUGGUGCCACUUCUAACCAAGCAAGAAAAAGAGGUUAAAAUUUCCCUUCCCCUCCCAAUCACUACAACAGGAAAACAAAAUUACCCAAUCAGAGGAUCCAUGAGGUCCCCGGAAUCACCUCCUGGGUGCGUUAACGGUUACAGGCCCUCUGUUUCCUGGGGGGGCUCCCCCUGCUGACAACAUGUGGGAUGAUUUCUGAUUAGUGCGCCACGAGGGCUGUGGGGCUGCCCCCUCCAGUG